This 451-nucleotide unclassified non-coding RNA is filed under the name Hevea brasiliensis (rubber tree). The record is from RNAcentral. Lineage: Eukaryota; Viridiplantae; Streptophyta; Magnoliopsida; Malpighiales; Euphorbiaceae.
GGAUAAACUGAAACCAUCAAGAUUCUCAGUAACUUGAACACUAAAAUUUACACUCGAAUGAAAUGGAACUCAACAGAGUUCGAUUGUUAACCCCAAAUGUUAGAAGAAAUCAAUUCAGUUCAGAAGACAUUCUACGAUGACAGUGGUGAGGAAGAUAGUCACAUACACAUGAUCGGUGCUUGGAAGUCAACAUGACUGGAAUUAUCUUCUGAGUGGCAACCAAUGUUAAACUGUGGCAAGGAUCCAAAACAUCACAUGGGAAGAAAUGGCAAUAAGAAACCACGUUAUGAAUGCAAAGACAACAGAAAGCUCAAAUCUGCCACAGGGAAGAUGCGAUGAACUACUGCAAAAGUGUAAAUCUUUGGAAUACAAAACAGCAAUCCCUGCUGACGAGCAUGCAGCUGCUAGUGAUAAGGUCGCCGUUACCCAGUCUCCAACAACAAAAAGGCUC